UAAUAUAUGUAGCACUAACACUUGAUUUUUUCACAACCCAAUUCCAAAAUUUGUAAUUGUUACUGCAGCAAACAAUAAUUUUCCAUUAUUGACAGUCUCCUUCUCCACCACAAAAUAUUUCGCAAAUCCAUGCUUACAUGAUAGCUAUGGGCGUUUCCUUAGGCAAUCAUUGAAGAGAUGGGGCUUAGCUUUACAACUAUGACAGAUUCCAAAGUUCCCUAUGAUCAUUCUAAUCUACAAAGAAAGAAAAUGAACCAUACAACACAACUAAAAACACACGGCACCAAACAACAGCAAACAAACACCAAACACUAGAGAUUCAAACUGGAAGUAAUUGUAAAACAACAGAAAAAUCUUUAAAACUACUUUCAACAAACAGGUGGGUUACUCAUUGUGGGUUGUUGGAUAAAAUUAUUACAUCGUUGGCGGCUUCCUUCUCAUCAGAGCACAACAAAGAAAUUGAAAUAGAUUUACGGAUAAGUGCUGUGCUAAAGUGAUAACACGGCGACGGCUUGGGAAAAUGAUGUCCUUUUCAGACCACCGUUAAGCUUCGCUGGGUUCCAUAGUCGAUUUAAAUAUUUGGGGUCUACUUGCAAGCUCCGGUGGCUACCGAAGAUGGUGAAGGGCUGGAGAUGGUGACACGUGCAGCACCGAACCCUUCAAUUGAAUUGAGAAGGGUUUCAGCUGUGGGGAUUUUGCACUUUUGGAGAAAUAUGGAAAUGAAUUUGACACAUUUUCAAAAGUUGUUUUCCGCCUUUAUUUUUUAUUUUUUAAUGCCAUAUCAACCUGGAUUUACCCAGUUUCUAUUGCCC
Molecule: long non-coding RNA, 812 nt
Filed under: Olea europaea (common olive)
Lineage: Eukaryota; Viridiplantae; Streptophyta; Magnoliopsida; Lamiales; Oleaceae
Description: long non-coding RNA (OEUR_LNC012220)
Source: RNAcentral